Molecule: long non-coding RNA, 741 nt
Filed under: Durio zibethinus
Lineage: Eukaryota; Viridiplantae; Streptophyta; Magnoliopsida; Malvales; Malvaceae
Description: long non-coding RNA (DZIB_LNC000780)
Source: RNAcentral
UACAGUUAGUGUAAUUGCACACAAAAAGGUUUCAAUCCCAUAUUCGGUGCCUGUCUCGGGCACUCCCUGCAGAACAGCAAUUACCACACCAAGCUUUUCACCUGCACCACUGAUCAGCCCUGCAAGGGUAGAGAGAACUCCUUUUCUUAAGAACAACAACAACAACAACAACAACAACAACAAUAGCAAGCCUUACCGCCGUGGCUUUGGAGUGAAGAGGGUCUUGACUAAUUAUCUUGGAGUUGAUUCAAAACCAAAGAUAUGUGGCAAUCCAACAGAUGGUUCAUCAGUUCUGAACUCUAGCAGUACAGACAGCUCAGGGAAUCAAAAGGAUCAAAAUACAUCAAAACAAUCAUCAGCAUACCAGAAUGGGAUCAGAUUGCGACAAAAUCCUCCGCGAUAUACAGUCACUUGAGAUUUUUGCUGAGAAAAGCAAAACAAUAAGAUGUGACAAAUAGAAUUAAUGACGGAAAACUUGUGGUUGUUGUAAAAUACUUAUGUGUAUGAGUUAUAUUUUAUAUUUUUUUGGUUGUGUUCCUCGUUCUUGUAGUUAAUUUGAAGCAGCAGUUAUUUGUAUCAAAACAGCCUACUUUUUUAUAGGGUGCUAACCGUGUGUUAACGUGAAUGCAAGUGAAAUGAGACAAAAUAUAGUAUGAGAUGCUUGGUUGUGUUUUCUCUUCAGAAUCAUAUCUCUAGACCAAAUGCUCGAAUCAUAUAUCAACCUGGUCAGUAAUGUAAACA